RNAcentral lists this ribosomal RNA (253 nucleotides) under uncultured bacterium. RNAcentral's name for it is "partial 16S ribosomal RNA". It matches the Rfam family "Bacterial small subunit ribosomal RNA", at positions 524 to 776 of the family's 1533-position model. The record is from RNAcentral.
UACGUAGGGUGCGAGCGUUAAUCGGAAUUACUGGGCGUAAAGCGUGCGCAGGCGGUUAUGCAAGACAGAUGUGAAAUCCCCGGGCUCAACCUGGGAACUGCAUUUGUGACUGCAUGACUAGAGUACGGCAGAGGGGGAUGGAAUUCCGCGUGUAGCAGUGAAAUGCGUAGAUAUGCGGAGGAACACCGAUGGCGAAGGCGACCCCCUGGACCUGUACUGACGCUCAUGCGCGAAAGCGUGGGGAGCAAACAGG